UUGAACGCUGGCGGCAUGCCUUACACAUGCCAGUCGCACGGUAACAGGUCUUCGGAUGCUGACGAGUGGCGAACGGGUGAGUAAUACAUCGGAACGUGCCCGAUCGUGGGGGAUAACGAGGCGAAAGCUUUGCUAAUACCGCAUAAGAUCUACGGAUGAAAGCAGGGGACCGCAAGGCCUUGCGCGAACGGAGCGGCCGAUGGCAGAUUAGGUAGUUGGUGGGAUAAAAGCUUACCAAGCCGACGAUCUGUAGCUGGUCUGAGAGGACGACCAGCCACACUGGGACUGAGACACGGCCCAGACUCCUACGGGAGGCAGCAGUGGGGAAUUUUGGACAAUGGGCGAAAGCCUGAUCCAGCCAUGCCGCGUGCAGGAUGAAGGCCUUCGGGUUGUAAACUGCUUUUGUACGGAACGAAAAGACUCUGGUUAAUACCUGGGGUCCAUGACGGUACCGUAAGAAUAAGCACCGGCUAACUACGUG
Molecule: ribosomal RNA, 481 nt
Filed under: uncultured bacterium
Lineage: Bacteria
Description: partial 16S ribosomal RNA
Rfam family: Bacterial small subunit ribosomal RNA
Source: RNAcentral